GGGUGUGGAACAGGAAGCUGGUUUCAUCUCUUUCUUUAGUGCAGGAUUUACACUUGAGGCUUGGGACUGGCACAGAAGUCACUGGACUGUGACCCCCAUGGCUAGAUUUGGCCAACAACUGUGGUAUCAUCUGCAUAUUUGAUGAAGAUGUUGGAGUUAUGCCGCAGAACACAGUCAGGGGUGAACAGGAGAAACUGAUGGAGAAGAGCCCAAUUGUGUAGCAGUUGUAAAUGAAAUUUGCAACCCCAGGCCUGAUUUUCAGGAGAGAACAUGGCAGUAUCCAGACUUUGAACUGUUUGUGGACGAGUCAGCCUUCAGAGACCUUGGUAGGAUAUGCUGCAGUUACACAACAUGAAAUCGUGAAAGCUGAGCCAUUAUCUCGACACCUCUCUGCACAUACAGCAGGUUAGCACAAGGCAAAACUGUCACCAUUUAUAGUCAGCAGAUUUUGGGGUAGUACAUAAUUUUGGCACAUUGUGGAAACAUAGAGGUUUCCUUACUUUUUCAGGUAAAUCAAUCACACAUAAUAGCCUGAUUUUGAGCUGCUGGAGGCAAUCUUACUACCAAAACCUAAUGCUGUAUGUAAAUUUGAAGCUAAUAUGAGAAAAUUAUUCCAUUCCGAAGUGUAGCAUCAAAACAGAUGCAGAUGCAGCCACAGCCUCACAAGAGUCAUCUGUGUGUAAACUUUGUGUAUGUUGUAACAUGUUCCCCCCCUAGCUGACCUUGAAGAUCUUCAAACACAAUUGACAGCAGAAGAAGGAACAGCAUGAAGAAAAGCAGGAGGUGUGGUAAGAAAUGGGGUUUGGUAUGGCCCUCAUGACAAACCCUGUUUUCCAAAGAAAGUGUUUUAUUGUUGAUAUGUUCUCAAAGUGGGUGGAGGCCUUUCCAACUUCAAAACAAGAUGCUGGUGCCGGCAGGAAUGCCAAGGCAGCUGACAAGCAAGUGUGAGGAUGAAAUGUUGUAUUUUUGUGCAAACUUGUCCUCUGUUACAUCUCAAAUCCAUAAGCAGGUGAAGUAAGUUCUGCCCAAGUCAACGCAAACAGAUCUACACAACUUUAAACCAGGUGUUGAAUUGAAUCUUGAAUCACGUCUGUUAAAGGAAACAUGCGUGGUACAAACAUUAAGAAUGCCUGCCAGUGCGCCUCUCUUUCCAGACCUGGCAGGCCUCCUGUGAGAAACGUCCAGAUCCAAGGUGUACUGGUUGAGGGCCCGAAUGGCCUGCAGGAAGAAGCUCCUCAAGGAGCUUCAAGGAACGGAAACGUUUCCCUGACCGCAACAGAGAGAAGAGUCCACUGUUAGGAUGGCUAAGGUCCUUCAUUAUCUUCCUGGCCUUGGUCCAGCACCCCUUGCUGUAUAUAGUCUCCAGGUCAGGAAGCUCAAUGUGGAUGGUAUGCUCAGCUGAUCGCACCACCCUCUGGAGAGCUUGCCUGUCCUGCUUGGUGCUGUUUCCAAACCAGGCUGUGAUACUUCCCAUCAGGAUGCUGUCAGUGGUGCAGGUAUAGAAUGUCUUUAGCACCUUUGAAGGCAGUUUAAAGUCUUUUAGGCAUCUGAGAUGGUAAAGACACUGCCAGGCCUUCUUCCCCAGGGUGUUGACAUGACAGGACCAUGACAGGUCCUGUGUGAUGUAAACACCUAGGUACCGGAAACUGUCCACUCUCUCCACUGGGGUCCCAUUUAUAGUGAGGGGCUGGUAAUUCCUCUCCUGCUUUGUACUGAAGUCCACUAUCAGAUAGACUUAGGAAACUAGGAACUAGGAAACUAGAACGUAAAUGGCGUCAAACUAAAUUGGCAGUAUUUCAAUUAGUGUGGAAGGAAAGCGUUCUGAGAUACAAAAAUUCUCUUAGUGCUGCUAGAUCAGCGUAUCUCUCUGGCCUAAUUGAAGAUAACAAAAACAAUCCUAAAUUUUUAUUUAGUACUGUAGCAAAACUAACUAGGAGUAAAACCACUGUAGAAAAGUGCACACCAUCUACAUUUAGCAGCAAUGACUUCAUGAAUUUAUUCAAUGAAAAAUAUCAGGCAAAAAAUUCAGACUAUUAAUUUAAAACCAAAUGAUUUGAUAGAUAAUCCUUUAGAUAAUAUAGCUAUUUCUGAUCAGAGCUUAGAGUGCUUCACUCCACUUCAAGAGCCUGAUCUAAUUUCAAUAAUUUCCUCCUGAAAACUUUCCUUCAUUCUAGAUCCUUUACCCACAUCUUUCCUUAAACAGAUAUUACCAGUAGCUACUGAACCCCUUCUAAAAAUCAUUAAUUAUUCCAUUAGCAUUAGCUAUGUGCCUAAAUCUUUAAAGCUAGCAGUUAUCACACCCUUGAUUAAAAAACCGGACCUCGACCCCUGUCAGCUGUCAAACUAUAGACCGAUAUCAAACCUGCCCUUUAUCUCCAAGAUCCUAGAAAAGGCUGUAGCACAGCAGUUCUGUUCAGACCUGCAUAGAAAUAACAUUUAUGAAAUGUAUCAGUCAGGAUUUAGGCCUCAUCAUAGCACAGAGACAGCACUGGUUAAAGUGGUCAAUGACCUGUUACUGGCUUCUGAUCAGGGUUGUGUCUCCUUACUGGUGCUACUGGAUCUUAGUGCAGCUUUUGACACCAUUGACCACACUGUUCUACUUAAUAGGCUAGAACAUGUUGUUGGUGUUAAAGGAACAGCCCUCUCCUGGCUCAGGUCUUAUCUGACUGACCGUUAUCAGUUUGUAGAUCUAGAUGGUGACUUCUCCAUGCAUACCAAUGUUUGGUGUUCCACAAGGUUCUGUUUUAGAACCACUGCUUUUCUCCCUAUAUAUGCACUACAUUGGCUCCCAGUAAAAUUUUGCAUUGAUUAUAAAAUCCUGUUACUGACCUAUAAAGCACUAAAUGGUCUCGCGCAGCAGUACUUGAGCGAUCUUUUCGCUAUUUAUGAUCCGCCACGCCUACUCCAAUCAAAGGGUGCUGGUUAUUUGGUAUUACCUCAAGUAGCAAAGGCUACAGCAGGGGGCGGAGCUUUCUCUUUCAAAGCCCCACAGUUAUGGAACAGCCUUCCAAUUAGUGUUUGUGAUUCAGACACAGUCUCAAUGUUUAAGUCCAGGCUGAAGAUACAUUUGUUUAGUCAAGCUUUUAAUGUAUAGUUUUCUUAGGAGCAGAUCUGGAAGGUUCAUGGUCAUAGAGUGUUUGGUGUACUGGGAUGUUUGGAUGCUGUCAUCUUACCACCCUCGCAAGUCGCUCAGGUUUGCUGACUGUGAAGUGGUUGGAUGCUUUAUGUCCCAGGAAGCCUUCAUGUCUGUCACCUUCUGGCUCUCCCUUUUAGUUAUGAUGUCAUAGCUAGUCUUGCCGGAGUCCCUGCCUGCACUUUACACAUAAUCUGCAUUGUCUUAAAUCACAAAUCACAUGAUCAGAAUCAUACUUAAUAUCUUUCUCUUUCUCUCUCUACCUUCUCUGUGGAGCUAUACACCCCACUCCUGAGCUCCCAGUGUUUGCCAGUUUCCAUUGUGACCACUGCCCUACCCCUGGUCAGAGUCUCGUCGCUUGAUGGUGCCCACUGAUGCUGUGGAUGGAUCUGUGUGGACCAGGAGACAGCCAUGGACAGAGCCACUUGGGGACUUUCACACCAUCACAGAUCUGCCAUUUCAUCUGUCAGCUUGUGACAGCAAAUACUUAGUGUCUAUAAUGACCUUAGAAACUACGCUGACCUAAUAGUUCCUCAUGGGUCAUUGAUUUCUGUUGUAGAAAGGACAUUAAUCAGUUACAGUUACAUUAUUUACUGUUUAGUGUCACCCAGAUGAGGAUGGGUUCCCUUCUGAGCCUGGUUCCUCUCAAGGUUUCUUCCUCAUAUCAUCCCAGGGAGUUUUUCCUUUCCACCGUCACCAGAGGCUUCUCAUUAGGGAUAAAAUAAAAUAGUUUAAUAAUUGAAUUUAAUAAUUUAUUUUUAUUUCUAGUUAUUUAGUUAUUUUUCAUUUUCAUUUUUCCCCCUCCCCUUUCUCUGUUUCUC
Molecule: long non-coding RNA, 3954 nt
Organism: Hemibagrus wyckioides
Lineage: Eukaryota; Metazoa; Chordata; Actinopteri; Siluriformes; Bagridae
Exons: 3
Source: RefSeq, a predicted model, not a curated record